Molecule: ribosomal RNA, 740 nt
Filed under: uncultured Staphylococcus sp.
Lineage: Bacteria; Bacillati; Bacillota; Bacilli; Caryophanales; Staphylococcaceae
Description: bacterial SSU rRNA
Rfam family: Bacterial small subunit ribosomal RNA
Source: RNAcentral
CAAGUCGAGUGAACGGACGAGAAGCUUGCUUCUCUGACGUUAGCGGCGGACGGGUGAGUAACACGUGGAUAACCUACCUAUAAGACUGGGAUAACUUCGGGAAACCGGAGCUAAUACCGGAUAAUAUUUUGAACCGCAUGGUUCAAAAGUGAAAGACGGUCUUGCUGUCACUUAUAGAUGGAUCCGCGCUGCAUUAGCUAGUUGGUAAGGUAACGGCUUACCAAGGCAACGAUGCAUAGCCGACCUGAGAGGGUGAUCGGCCACACUGGAACUGAGACACGGUCCAGACUCCUACGGGAGGCAGCAGUAGGGAAUCUUCCGCAAUGGGCGAAAGCCUGACGGAGCAACGCCGCGUGAGUGAUGAAGGUCUUCGGAUCGUAAAACUCUGUUAUUAGGGAAGAACAUAUGUGUAAGUAACUGUGCACAUCUUGACGGUACCUAAUCAGAAAGCCACGGCUAACUACGUGCCAGCAGCCGCGGUAAUACGUAGGUGGCAAGCGUUAUCCGGAAUUAUUGGGCGUAAAGCGCGCGUAGGCGGUUUUUUAAGUCUGAUGUGAAAGCCCACGGCUCAACCGUGGAGGGUCAUUGGAAACUGGAAAACUUGAGUGCAGAAGAGGAAAGUGGAAUUCCAUGUGUAGCGGUGAAAUGCGCAGAGAUAUGGAGGAACACCAGUGGCGAAGGCGACUUUCUGGUCUGUAACUGACGCUGAUGUGCGAAAGCGUGGGGAUCAAACAGGAUUA